CGCUAAUCAGAGGGGGAAGAGACAUACAUAGAGAGCGGGAGGAAGAGAUGGGGGAAGAGAAGAGACACCAGAUGAUGCAGAACUUGUUCGGUGAUCAGUCUGAGGAAGAAGAAGAGAUCGAUUCUGAGCAUGAAUCGAAUCCCCACCCUAAUUACGCCUCUGAUGAAGCUGAAGGAGGUCUGAGGAAUGAGGGUGAAGAUGAAGGUGAAGGUGAAGAUGAAGUGGAAGGGCACGGUAAUAUAGAAGUGGAGAGUGAAGAUGAAAUGCAUGAGGUAGAACCUGAUCCAGGAGAAAGUGAGGGUGAAAGAGAACCAAGUUCUGAAGAAGUAGAUGUUGUUGAUGAGAGGGAAGUGAGUGAAGCUAAAGAUGCGGAUAGCGAAGAGAAAGAAGACUAUGGUCACAGAUUGGCAACAAGCAGGAGACGUGAUAUAAUUGAAAGUGGAUCAGAGAGAUCUGAGGAACAACAUUAUGCUGACCACGAGGAUGAGGAGGUUGACCAGGCCAGAAGCCCAAGUAAAUCACCUGAUGGGGAGAAGGAUCACAAUCCCAUUUCACAGUCAGCUGCUGAGAUUCGUGAUGUGUUUGGUGAUUCUGAUGAUGAGGAAGAGGCAGGAUAUGUGGUUAGGAAUGAAAUUGAGCACGAUUCACAUAGGUCUCCAAUGGAAGAGGAAGGUAGCUAUGAAAAGAAUUUAAGACCAGAGGAUAUGCUGAUGGACGAAGAUGCUCGAUAUGAAUCGGAAGAGGACAUUGAGGUUAAAUCUAAAGAGAAACCAGUUGGCCCCCCAUUAGAGAUAGAGAUUCCAUUUCGGCAGCCUCCAGCUGAUCCGACCAAGAUGAAUAUGAUCAAGGUUUCCAAUAUAAUGGGCAUUGACCCAAAUCCAUUUGAUCCUAAGACAUAUGUGGAAGAGAAAACAUUUGUGACAGAUGAAUCUGGAGCCAAAACACGUAUACGCUUGGAAAAUAAUAUUGUCCGGUGGCGGACUGUUAGAAAUCCUGAUGGCAGUAAAUCUGUUGAAAGCAAUGCUCGGUUUGUGAGAUGGUCAGAUGGCAGUUUACAGUUAUUAAUUGGGAAUGAAGUUCUUGAUAUAUCUGUGCAAGAUGAUCAGCAUGACCAAACACAUCUUUUUCUUAGACAUAACAAGGUGACAUCCCAUGUCUGACAUGUUACAUAUGUGAUUCAAGCAUAUGAUGUAUUCAACUUUUUUAGUCUUCUUUUUCUUUUCUCUUCUUGCCCUCUCAAUUUAUAUUGUGGUGGCUGCUAAGAUUUUGUUUUGUGCCAGGCUCAUUAAGAUGUUUAACAGCCUAUCAAGAUGCAUAACUUUGUUCUUCCUUAACAUCUACCUUUUGAUGUCAUUGAUUUCCUUCAGUCUAAAUGAGUUGUCAAAACUUCUAAAUUUUCUCAUAGAUAAGUUAGGUUGAUUUCUUACUCCUUUGACAUAAUUUGAUGGUCCAUUGACCCAUCAAUUUGCUGUUGGAUUUUUCUUUGCAAGCGUAAUUUUUAUAUGUAUGUGAUGAUUGAAAAGGAUUGGGGAAUGGCUGCAAGUGAAAAACCUUGAUCUUGGGACUAUAUUGUGUGGAAAUUCUGUGUGCAAUGUGAUUGAGAAAUAAUCUGGGGAUUUGAAAUUAUUUUCUGAGAAAGGAAUUUGUAAGUUUAUUUGCAUUGUCACUGUAUUCUUUUCUCCAAUUGCUUAUGGAACCUUUAUAGUCCAGAGUUGCAAUGAAUCUUGGAAACUAGGGUUUUCUUGAGCUGGAUGCUGGGCAACAGUUAUUUAGUUAAUUAUAUAGAAUCCCUUAUGUGUUAAUUGUGAAACUGGACUUUGAGAUGCUGUGAAGGUCCUAUGUAACACGCUCUUGUAUUUAUGUACCAAACUCAGAAUAAGUGCUGUUGAAUUUGGGUCUGUUUUUAUGAACCGAUCUUGAGCUAGAAACUCCUGGAUUUGGGCACCACAUUUUUGAAACUUCAUGUCCUAUGAAGUACUUAAAGGUAGCUUUUGCCUUAUUGGGAAAGUAGAUGAAUCUCUUUCUUUUUCUAUUAAAAUAUAGAAGCAGACUUCUUUUUGACAGUAUAUAUGCAUAUGCAGAAAACAAUAGUCCUUUUCUUUUUCUUUCCUUGACAUGUUUCAGUGCUAUUGGUUCCAUUCUCUUCUUUCUCUUCCUUUUGACCUUACUUCAAGCUCCUUUAUGCUUGGCCACACCAACAAGGGGAAUCUAGUUUCCUUCCCUUUGAAGUGCAUUUAUUAGAUCAGCUCCCCAAGUCUUCUCAUUGAGAGACCAUUUUAAAUCUUUUUUCAUUGGUAAACAAUGUCAAAUCUUUGCUUCUGCUUUCAGUCACUUCUUCAAUCACAAGGAAGAAUACGGAGGAAGAUGCGGUUUAUGCCAUCAUCUUUGACAUCAAAUUCUCACAGGCUGUUGACGGCUCUUGUUGACUCACGGCAUAGAAAGGUUUAUAAAGUUAAGAACUGCAUCACCGACAUUGAUCCUGAGAGAGAAAAAGAGGAAAAAGAAAGGGCUGAAAGUCAAACAAUUAGAGCCAAUGUACUUCUUAAUCGGAAGAGAGAAAAGGUUAGCCGAAAGUAUACACAAACUGUAGAGCGGAGGCGUCAGCUCUCGCCUGGGUUCUUGGAGGGUGCUCUUGAUGAGGAUGAUGAACCGGAUUAUUUUGACUCUCGUCGUUCUCGCCGCCGCUUUGAAGAAGAUCUGGAAGUGGAAGCUCGAGCAGAGAAACGCAUAAUGAAUGCUAAGAAGGUCUUGUAACCUGAAGUCAUUGUGUAAUUACCUUUUAUUCGGGUGAAAAUUUACCCAUUUUAAUAUUUUCACUAAUAAUAACAGGGACACACAGAUAUUCUACGCAAGUCAUCUUUGCCCACUGUGAAAUCAUCAAAGCGCCCUGUGAAUUUCUGUGACAGUGAGAGAGAAGAGUCUGAGUAUGAAAGUGAUGGGGAGGAAUUUGGAAGGUCUCCUCGCCGGAAAAGGGUUGAGGAGCCAGAGCAGGAAUAUGAAGAAGAAGAAGAAGAAGAAGUUGCAGAAAUAAAAGAAGAUGGCAAGGAUGUGAAAGAUUCUAUUUCUUCUAAAGAUGUGAAAAGUCAGGCUGCCAUUGAGAAUGGACAGAAAAGGAAGAGACCUGGACAUACCGAAGAAAAUUCAAAUUCAGUCAAAGAGGAAAAUGGUGUUGGAACAAAGUUGGAUAUUGAUAAUUCAACAGUGAGUAUUGGAUUUCGACAAAAUGGGAGCAGACGAAAAAACAAGCCCAGGAGGGCUGCUGAAGCUGUUGUUGAGUGCAAGUGAACUUCAUUUUUGUUGUUUUAAAGGUUUCAUGUCUUCUUUCCUGUCAUGGGAUAAUAUAAAUCUUAAUUAUCGAAGUGGAGCUUAUUGUGUAGGUUUGGCUAGAUGUUUCUUUUGUUAUAUGAUAUUUGUUUUUAUAUUUGUUGAUUCCAUUUCUCUGGAGCGGAUAAUUUCGAUUCGGAGGCUAUAACAUUGAUUUUACUUCAUAUAAUUGUGCAGAAACCUUCCACCAUCGGAAAUUAUUUGCUGGUCUUCUGCUAUUUGCAUUUAGUCAUAAGUAAAGAAAAAAUUUAUUUUCCCUUUGCAAGAGAAUUAUGCUUGCUAGCUACAUCUAUUUAUUGCUGGCAUUACAUGGCUAACUAGUGACUAGCCUUAGGUUCUUGUUAUUUGUCUGGUAUAAGUACAAUACAAACUGCACUUAGGAUGAUAGUGCAACCAUUUUGUAGUUUAAUCAGCUUUCAUUAGCUUUUUCAUUGUUUGAAAUGUAGCUAGUUGCUCUGAUCAAUUAUAAAUCAGAGGCUUCAUGAGGUCUAUCGACACUGAAUUACUUUUUAACACUGUUCACAGAGGGUUAAGACUCUGAAGAAAUGAAUGUGAAGACUUGGUGGUACAGAAGAGUAAUUUUGCAAGUAACAAUGAUGAUUACAGAAGCUUGUAAUGAAGGUGAGCUUGUGCAACGUAGUGGGUGGAAGGAACUACUAGAACUACAAUUGUAGAUGAAACUGCAAUUGAUACAGACAAUCUCAUCAUCAAAAGAACUACUAGAACUAGACUGAUUUGAUAAUCUAUACUGGGUUUAAAUUUGAGAACCACCAAUGGCAUUUGAAGGGAUUUACUAGGGUUAUCCUUCCAAGCUUGUUUGUGUCAGGUAGCUUGUCUUCUAAAAUGGUUAAUCACUUGCACUGGGGACCAUUAAUUGGCUUAUUGUGAAACCGAUAGAAGCUACAUAAUGUUGUAAGGAC
Molecule: unclassified non-coding RNA, 4244 nt
Filed under: Hevea brasiliensis (rubber tree)
Lineage: Eukaryota; Viridiplantae; Streptophyta; Magnoliopsida; Malpighiales; Euphorbiaceae
Source: RNAcentral